RNAcentral lists this ribosomal RNA (253 nucleotides) under uncultured bacterium. RNAcentral's name for it is "partial 16S ribosomal RNA". It matches the Rfam family "Bacterial small subunit ribosomal RNA", at positions 524 to 776 of the family's 1533-position model. The record is from RNAcentral.
UACGGAGGGUGCAAGCGUUAUCCGGAUUCACUGGGUUUAAAGGGUGCGUAGGUGGGCAAGUAAGUCAGUGGUGAAAUACGGCAGCUCAACUGUCGAGGUGCAAUUGAUACUGAUGGACUUGAGUACUGAUGAGGUAAGCGGAAUGGACGGUGUAGCGGUGAAAUGCUUAGAUAUCGUCCAGAACACCGAUAGCGAAGGCAGCUUACUAAGGAGUAACUGACGCUGAGGCACGAAAGUGUGGGGAUCAAACAGG